Molecule: small nuclear RNA, 119 nt
Organism: Heterocephalus glaber (naked mole-rat)
Lineage: Eukaryota; Metazoa; Chordata; Mammalia; Rodentia; Bathyergidae
Gene: U2
Rfam family: U2 spliceosomal RNA
About the family: U2 is a small nuclear RNA (snRNA) component of the spliceosome (involved in pre-mRNA splicing). Complementary binding between U2 snRNA (in an area lying towards the 5' end but 3' to hairpin I) and the branchpoint sequence (BPS) of the intron results the bulging out of an unpaired adenosine, on the BPS, which initiates a nucleophilic attack at the intronic 5' splice site, thus starting the first of two transesterification reactions that mediate splicing.
Source: Ensembl
AUCACUUCUCAGCCUUUUGGCUAAGAUCAAGUGUAGUAUAUUUUCAAUUCUAUUGGUAAUAUGGAUUCAUAAGAAUACUUUAUACACAAGGAUAGUAAGAUUUUUUUCUAUCAUUUUCC